Molecule: non-coding RNA, 96 nt
Organism: Rhizobium sp. Leaf453
Lineage: Bacteria; Pseudomonadati; Pseudomonadota; Alphaproteobacteria; Hyphomicrobiales; Rhizobiaceae
Source: Rfam
ACAUUGCAAUCUGGUGGUGGGCUCGCUAAAGCGGCCUUGACCAGUCAUGCGUGAUUGAGACGAUAAGCCGCCCGGAAGUUUCGAGGCGGCUUUUUU